Molecule: ribosomal RNA, 17 nt
Filed under: Pestalotiopsis mangifolia
Lineage: Eukaryota; Fungi; Ascomycota; Sordariomycetes; Amphisphaeriales; Sporocadaceae
Description: partial 18S ribosomal RNA
Source: RNAcentral
CCGCGGAGGGAUCAUUA